UACGGAGGAUCCGAGCGUUAUCCGGAUUUAUUGGGUUUAAAGGGUGCGCAGGCGGAAGAUUAAGUCGGUGGUGAAAUUUUGCAGCUCAACUGUAAAAGUGCCAUUGAUACUGGUUUUCUUGAGUGUGGAUGAAGUAGGCGGAAUUUGUGGUGUAGCGGUGAAAUGCAUAGAUAUCACGAGGAACUCCGAUCGCGUAGGCAGCUUACUAGGCCAUAACUGACGCUCAGGCACGGAGGCGUGGGGAUCAAACAGGAUUAGAUA
Molecule: ribosomal RNA, 261 nt
Filed under: uncultured prokaryote
Description: partial 16S ribosomal RNA
Rfam family: Bacterial small subunit ribosomal RNA
Source: RNAcentral